CACCGCCCGUCACACCCUGGGAAUUGGUUUCGCCCGAAGCAUCGGACCAAUGAUCACCCAUGACUUCUGUGUACCACUAGUGCCACAAAGGCCUUUGGUGGUGUUAUUGCCGCAUACCACGGUGGGGCUUCGACAGGGUGAAGUCGUAACAAGGUAGUCGUAGGGGAACCUGUGGCUG
RNAcentral lists this ribosomal RNA (178 nucleotides) under Aegilops tauschii subsp. strangulata. RNAcentral describes it as "rRNA SSU_rRNA_eukarya". The record is from Rfam by way of RNAcentral. Lineage: Eukaryota; Viridiplantae; Streptophyta; Magnoliopsida; Poales; Poaceae.